RNAcentral lists this ribosomal RNA (561 nucleotides) under bacterium tet-w-30. RNAcentral describes it as "bacterial SSU rRNA". It matches the Rfam family "Bacterial small subunit ribosomal RNA", at positions 53 to 602 of the family's 1533-position model. The record is from RNAcentral.
ACAUGCAGUCGACGGUGAACAGCGCAAACAGCUUGCUGGUUUCGCUGACGAGUGGCGGACGGGUGAGUAAUGUCUGGGGGGCUGCCUGAUGGAGGGGGAUAACUACUGGAAACGGUAGCUAAUACCGCAUAAUGUCGCAAGACCAAAGAGGGGGACCUUCGGGCCUCUUGCCAUCGGAUGUGCCCAGAUGGGAUUAGCUAGUAGGUGGGGUAACGGCUCACCUAGGCGACGAUCCCUAGCUGGUCUGAGAGGAUGACCAGCCACACUGGAACUGAGACACGGUCCAGACUCCUACGGGAGGCAGCAGUGGGGAAUAUUGCACAAUGGGCGCAAGCCUGAUGCAGCCAUGCCGCGUGUAUGAAGAAGGCCUUCGGGUUGUAAAGUACUUUCAGCGGGGAGGAAGGGAGUAAAGUUAAUACCUUUGCUCAUUGACGUUACCCGCAGAAGAAGCACCGGCUAACUCCGUGCCAGCAGCCGCGGUAAUACGGAGGGUGCAAGCGUUAAUCGGAAUUACUGGGCGUAAAGCGCACGCGGGCGGUUGUUAAGUCAGAUGUGAAUCCC